GAUGAACGCUAGCGUACAGGCUUAACACAUGCAAGUCGAGGGGCAGCAUGAACUUAGCUUGCUAAGUUUGAUGGCGACCGGCGCACGGGUGAGUAACACGUAUCCAACCUGCCGAUGACUCGGGGAUAGCCUUUCGAAAGAAAGAUUAAUACCCGAUGGCAUAGUUCUUUCGCAUGGUAGAACUAUUAAAGAUUUAUCGGUAAGCGAUGGGGAUGCGUUCCAUUAGGCAGUUGGCGGGGUAACGGCCCACCAAACCUACGAUGGAUAGGGGUUCUGAGAGGAAGGUCCCCCACAUUGGAGCUGAGACACGGUCCAA
RNAcentral lists this ribosomal RNA (316 nucleotides) under uncultured bacterium. Its description in RNAcentral is "bacterial SSU rRNA". It matches the Rfam family "Bacterial small subunit ribosomal RNA", at positions 28 to 334 of the family's 1533-position model. The record is from RNAcentral.